UGAGGAAUUUUGCACAAUGGGGGAAACCCUGAUGCAGCGACGCCGCGUGAUUUAGAAGGCCUUCGGGUUGUAAAAAUCUUUUUUACCGGAUGAAAAUGACAGUACCGUAAGAAUAAGGUCCGGCUAAAUACGUGCCAGCAGCCGCGGUAAUACGUAUGGACCGAGCGUUGUCCGGAAUCAUUGGGCGUAAAGGGUACGUAGGCGGCCUAGUAAGUUAGAAGUGAAAUAAUAUAGCUCAACUAUAUAAAGCUUUUAAAACUGCUAGGCUUGAGAGAUGGAAGGGAAAGUGGAAUUCCUAGUGUAGCGGUGAAAUGCGCAGAUAUUAGGAAGAAUACCGGUGGCGAAGGCGACUUUCUGGUCAUCAUCUGACGCUGAGGUACGAAAGCGUGGGUAGCAAACAGG
This 402-nucleotide ribosomal RNA is filed under the name bacterium. Its description in RNAcentral is "partial 16S ribosomal RNA". It matches the Rfam family "Bacterial small subunit ribosomal RNA", at positions 355 to 776 of the family's 1533-position model. The record is from RNAcentral.